UGGCGGCAUGCUAACACAUGCAGUCGAACGGUACAGGCCCGCAAGGGUGCUGACCGAGUGGGCGGACGGGUGAGGAAUACAUCGGAAUUUGCCCAGUCGUGGGGGAUAACGUAGGGAAACUUACGCUAAUACCGCAUACGACCUAACGGUGAAAGCGGGGGAUCGCAAGACCUCGCGCGAGUGGAUGAGCCGAUGUCGGAUUAGCUAGUUGGCGGGGUAAAGGCCCACCAAGGCGACGAUCCGUAGCUGGUCUGAGAGGAUGAUCAGCACACUGGGACUGAGACACGGCCCAGACUCCUACGGGAGGCAGCAGUGGGGAAUAUUGGACAAUGGGGGCAACCCUGAUCCAGCAAUGCCGCGUGUGUGAAGAAGGCCUUCGGGUUGUAAAGCACUUUUAUCCGGAACGAAACGCGCAGGGUGAAUAUCCUUGCGAACUGACGGUACCGGAGGAAUAAGCACCGGCUAACUUCGUGCCAGCAGCCGCGGUAAUACGAAGGGUGCAAGCGUUACUCGGAAUUACUGGGCGUAAAGGGUGCGUAGGUGGUUGUUUAAGUCUGUUGUGAAAGCCCCGGGCUCAACUGGGAAUGGAAUGGAUACUUGGACAGCUAAGUGCGGUAGAGGGUAGUGGAAUUCCCGGUGUA
This 641-nucleotide ribosomal RNA is filed under the name uncultured bacterium. RNAcentral's name for it is "bacterial SSU rRNA". It matches the Rfam family "Bacterial small subunit ribosomal RNA", at positions 37 to 677 of the family's 1533-position model. The record is from RNAcentral.